Molecule: ribosomal RNA, 435 nt
Filed under: uncultured Oscillospiraceae bacterium
Lineage: Bacteria; Bacillati; Bacillota; Clostridia; Eubacteriales; Oscillospiraceae
Description: bacterial SSU rRNA
Rfam family: Bacterial small subunit ribosomal RNA
Source: RNAcentral
ACGGGAGGCAGCAGUCGGGAAUAUUGCGCAAUGGAGGAAACUCUGACGCAGUGACGCCGCGUAUAGGACGAAGGUCUUCGGAUUGUAAACUAUUGUCGUUAGGGAAGAGAAAGGACAGUACCUAAGGAGGGAGCUCCGGCUAACUACGUGCCAGCAGCCGCGGUAAUACGUAGGGAGCGAGCGUUAUCCGGAUUUAUUGGGUGUAAAGGGUGCGUAGACGGGAAAUUAAGUUAGUUGUGAAAUCCCUCGGCUUAACUGAGGAACUGCAACUAAAACUGGUUUUCUUGAGUAUUGGAGAGGAAAGCGGAAUUCCUAGUGUAGCGGUGAAAUGCGUAGAUAUUAGGAGGAACACCAGUGGCGAAGGCGGCUUUCUGGACAAAAACUGACGUUGAGGCACGAAAGUGUGGGGAGCAAACAGGAUUAGAUACCCUGGUA